GGCAUACGGCUCAGUAACGCGUAGUCAACCUAACCUAUGGACGGGAAUAACCUCGGGAAACUGAGAAUAAUGCCCGAUAGAACAUUAUGCCUGGAAUGGUUUAUGUUCCAAAUGAUUUAUCGCCGUAGGAUGGGACUGCGGCCUAUCAGUUUGUUGGUGAGGUAAUGGCCCACCAAGACCAUUACAGGUACGGGCUCUGAGAGGAGUAGCCCGGAGAUGGGUACUGAGACACGGACCCAGGCCCUAUGGGGCGCAGCAGGCGAGAAAACUUUGCAAUGUGCGAAAGCACGACAAGGUUAAUCCGAGUGGUUUCUGCUAAAGAAACCUUUUGUCAGUCCUAGAAACACUGAUGAAUAAGGGGUGGGCAAGUUCUGGUGUCAGCCGCCGCGGUAAAACCAGCACCUCAAGUGGUCAGGAUGAUUAUUGGGCCUAAAGCAUCCGUAGCCGGCUCUGUAAGUUUUCGGUUAAAUCUGUACGCUCAACGUACAGGCUGCCGGGAAUACUGCAGAGCUAGGGAGUGGGAGAGGUAGACGGUACUCGGUAGGAAGGGGUAAAAUCCUUUGAUCUAUUGAUGACCACCUGUGGCGAAGGCGGUCUACCAGAACACGUCCGACGGUGAGGGAUGAAAGCUGGGGGAGCAAACCGGAUUAGAUACCCGGGUAGUCCCAGCUGUAAACUAUGCAAACUCAGUGAUGCAUUGGCUUGUGGCCAAUGCAGUGCUGCAGGGAAGCCGUUAAGUUUGCCGCCUGGGAAGUACGUACGCAAGUAUGAAACUUAAAGGAAUUGGCGGGGGAGCACCACAAGGGGUGAAGCCUGCGGUUCAAUUGGAGUCAACGCCGGG
RNAcentral lists this ribosomal RNA (841 nucleotides) under uncultured crenarchaeote. RNAcentral describes it as "bacterial SSU rRNA". It matches the Rfam family "Archaeal small subunit ribosomal RNA", at positions 80 to 922 of the family's 1478-position model. Lineage: Archaea; Thermoproteati; Thermoproteota. The record is from RNAcentral.